RNAcentral lists this ribosomal RNA (465 nucleotides) under Vreelandella stevensii. Its description in RNAcentral is "partial 16S ribosomal RNA". It matches the Rfam family "Bacterial small subunit ribosomal RNA", at positions 338 to 795 of the family's 1533-position model. The record is from RNAcentral. Lineage: Bacteria; Pseudomonadati; Pseudomonadota; Gammaproteobacteria; Oceanospirillales; Halomonadaceae.
CCUACGGGUGGCUGCAGUGGGGAAUAUUGGACAAUGGGGGCAACCCUGAUCCAGCCAUGCCGCGUGUGUGAAGAAGGCCCUCGGGUUGUAAAGCACUUUCAGUGAGGAAGAACGCCUGGUGGUUAAUACCCAUCAGGAAAGACAUCACUCACAGAAGAAGCACCGGCUAACUCCGUGCCAGCAGCCGCGGUAAUACGGAGGGUGCGAGCGUUAAUCGGAAUUACUGGGCGUAAAGCGCGCGUAGGUGGCUUGAUAAGCCGGUUGUGAAAGCCCCGGGCUCAACCUGGGAACGGCAUCCGGAACUGUCAAGCUAGAGUGCAGGAGAGGAAGGUAGAAUUCCAGGUGUAGCGGUGAAAUGCGUAGAGAUCGGGAGGAAUACCAGUGGCGAAGGCGGCCUUCUGGACUGACACUGACACUGAGGUGCGAAAGCGUGGGUAGCAAACAGGAUUAGAUACCCUAGUAGUC